GACGAACGCUGGCGGCGUGCCUAAUACAUGCAAGUCGAGCGAAGUUUUUCUGGUGCUUGCACUAGAAAAACUUAGCGGCGAACGGGUGAGUAACACGUAAAGAACCCGCCUCAUAGACUGGGACAACUAUUGGAAACGAUAGCUAAUACCGGAUAACAGUAUUUCUCGCAUGAGAGAUAUUUAAAAGUUGGUUAUGCUAACACUAUGAGAUGGCUUUGCGGUGCAUUAGCUAGUUGGUGGGGUAAAGGCCCACCAAGGCGACGAUGCAUAGCCGACCUGAGAGGGUGAUCGGCCACACUGGGACUGAGACACGGCCCAGACUCCUACGGGAGGCAGCAGUAGGGAAUCUUCCGCAAUGGGCGAAAGCCUGACGGAGCAACGCCGCGUGAGUGAAGAAGGAUUUCGGUUCGUAAAGCUCUGUUGUUAGGGAAGAAUGGAUAUGUAGUAACUAUACAUGUAAGAGACGGUACCUAACCAGAAAGCCACGGCUAACUACGUG
RNAcentral lists this ribosomal RNA (499 nucleotides) under uncultured bacterium. Its description in RNAcentral is "partial 16S ribosomal RNA". It matches the Rfam family "Bacterial small subunit ribosomal RNA", at positions 28 to 507 of the family's 1533-position model. The record is from RNAcentral.